UAGAUCGAAGUCCGCCGGUUUGGACAGCUAGCUGUUAACUAGCUUUUGUGGGAUCGAGGCCUACUGGUCUAG
Molecule: transfer RNA, 72 nt
Filed under: Ptyas korros
Lineage: Eukaryota; Metazoa; Chordata; Lepidosauria; Squamata; Colubridae
Description: tRNA-Asn
Source: RNAcentral